Molecule: long non-coding RNA, 846 nt
Organism: Dermacentor andersoni
Lineage: Eukaryota; Metazoa; Arthropoda; Arachnida; Ixodida; Ixodidae
Source: RefSeq, a predicted model, not a curated record
GGAGUGCGCCACUGGUCGCGCUGUCGGCGCAGGCGUGCACCGUCCUGCAGCGCCUCACGUGUCGGCGCAAUGCCACCGUGACAAGAACGAGCGCCCACAUUGCCUCGCGGAGCCUGCUCACGUUCGAGGCGCCAACACGAGCACUGGCCACUCACGGUUCCUGGUGCGGUGUCGCAGCAACGCCGGCGACCGUCGCAGGUUGAACCUUUGGUGCUCGCAUGUACAGGGUGGACAAGCUGAGCGCCAGUACCAAGGCCACCACUCCCACAAGCAGCCCUGGGACUGAUUCGCCGAUACGCCGCAAACGACGCCACAAGUGCGUAAGAACAUUUCGCACUACGCGGAUUUUAUUUAGAUAAGGACCUACCUUUAGCCUCUGUGCUCAAGGCCUGUCGGACGCCUUCGGUGGACAGAGGCAGCUGAGCAGCCUGCGAGAAAGUGUGCGUUACUGUAGGUGUUUUGGAAAUCACCAAAGUUCUCAUAGCACGAAGGCUUUUGUUCCUUUCUUUUUCUAGUUUACGAACUCUCUGCAUUUUUUUUUUCUUUCUUUUUGUAGUGCUUCAAGUACCUAAGUUGAAAUUCUGCUUGCAACAUAGAUUACAGUAUAGAUUUAGUUAUUCCUUAAGUUUAAAAGAAAUCUUGCUUACACCGAUUCAGCAGUAUUCUGCGUUUCACAUGUAUUUGAAUGGGCAACUCGGAGGUGCCUAUCCGAGCUUCCUCUCGAGUCGGACAAGUUGUGCGGGGAGGCACACUUGUCCGACUGAUUUCGCGUAUCCCUUAUUGCAUGACUGGCCUUGCGUGAUCCUGGCAAGCCAUUUGUUGCUGCGCGCACACGUCUAGAGGACU